UUAAUAUAUGUCAGCUUUUCUCUUUCUUAGCUGGACAAAGCAAAUGGAAAACACUUUGCACACACUGCAUUUAAUCAAUUGCUAGAUUUAUUUUUUUUUUCUUCGCCGUGAUACCAAUCUUGAAUGCUUCCGCCGUGAUCAAUCUUCUUCUUCGGCGUGAUUUCAGCUUAUUCACCAAAUCAUAAUCCUCUGUUCUUUUUUCUCUUUUUUCUCUUCAAUUUUGAUUUCAUGGGUUUGUUUUCUUCCGCGAAUUUGAGUUUGAGCAAGCUGUAUAAUUAUAGGGUUUGAUUUGUUUCCGUGAUUAUAGCGGGUUUUGACUUCUAUGCAGUUACGGAUCUCGCUAUAGACUCUGUUAUAUAGUUUGUGGAUUUAUACUGAAACUUCAUAAACUCAUAUUUGCAGAACACACAAACAUAGAUCUUUCUUAUGAUUGGCUCUUUUUUGGGUUUUUUUUCUUAUGCUUGUUGAAAUUUUAAUGUGGGACAAAGAUUGAUACUUUAUGUUGUGUAAAUUGAAAUUUUUUGUUUUGUUUUUGGUAGAGAGAAAAUUCUGGUGAACGUGUGCAGUUUAGCCGAGACCAGUUGCUUUAGGUCAAACAGCAGUCAGUCCAAGUCUCUGAUGAUAUCCUGAGAGGCUGUAAGGAAAUCGCAGUUGAGAUUUUUGGCGAAGAUCAGAGUUGGGGGAAUCGUGCAGCCGAGAGUAAACCAACAAACCAGCCUCAGAAUUGAUAUUCCCAUCCUGAUACCCGUGACUGGCAUAGUCGUCCGCAGGUUCCACAAGAAUGUCUGGUCUUGCCCCUGUGCUGGUGAAAGUGGAAGUCCCAUGGUCAGCUAAAAGAGGAGCUCUUUCAGAUAAGGAUCGAGUCCUCAAGAACGUGAAAGGGCAGGAUAGGAGACUUGGCACAAUAUGUUUCAUUCUACUGCACUCUUUUCAGCUAUCAUUUGCCAUUGGCAAAGGAGCUAGGAAUUAGAGUGGUUCCGACCUUUAAGAUCUUGAAGGACAACAAAGUAAUAAAGGAAGCGACAGGGGCUAAAUAUAAAGACUUGCUUGCAGCCAUUGAUGCAGCAAGGUCAGGCUGAGUCUCCCUCAAUCACUCAUGCUGUAAAGUAUUAGGAUCAUCCUCCUCCAACCAGAAAGAGCGAGACAGACAGACAGAGAAAGAGGGUUCGAUUAUAAUGGCGACGAGCGAGAGAGAGCUAGAGAGAGAGAGAGAGAGAGAGAAAGAGAGAGAUGUCAGAGGUAUCGUUUCGUGUUUCCUUCUAAAACCCUAAGAUGAAUCGAUUUUGAUUUUCGACUUGUUUAAUUUCUUUUUUUUUAUCUUAUUUUUGGUGAACAAGGUGUCUGUGGUGUUUGUGUUCUGUGUUAUGUUUUCCUAACAAUUUUUUAAACAAAAAAUACUUAAAAA
Non-coding RNA from Camelina sativa (false flax), 1405 nucleotides. NCBI's taxonomy places the organism in Eukaryota, Viridiplantae, Streptophyta, Magnoliopsida, Brassicales, Brassicaceae. The record is from RefSeq and is a predicted model, not a curated record.